Molecule: long non-coding RNA, 339 nt
Filed under: Cicer arietinum (chickpea)
Lineage: Eukaryota; Viridiplantae; Streptophyta; Magnoliopsida; Fabales; Fabaceae
Description: long non-coding RNA (CARI_LNC001113)
Source: RNAcentral
UGACGCUUUCAUAAGAUAGAAGGACCAUAAUGAUUUUCAGCAACCAUGAGAUGUCGACAACACGUCCAAACGAGUCCAAAAGCAUCGACGAAUUUGCAGAGUCAAUGAAACAUGGCUGAUAAUUUUCCCAAGGCAUAAAAAUCAAAAUUAUAUAAUUAAUAAAAAUAUUAGGCUCGAUUUUCGUCAGUUUUGCUGAAUUCCUGCAUGGCCAAACCGAUUUCCAAAUCGUCACUGACGUACUAGGGCGCCGACAGGGUCCGGCAUCAACUUCACCGAAACACACAAAUGAGUAGUGCUUCUUGAAGGUUUCGACGAGAGGAAUCCAAAAAUGAUGUCAGN